This 225-nucleotide ribosomal RNA is filed under the name uncultured Anoxybacillus sp. Its description in RNAcentral is "partial 16S ribosomal RNA". It matches the Rfam family "Bacterial small subunit ribosomal RNA", at positions 1158 to 1382 of the family's 1533-position model. Lineage: Bacteria; Bacillati; Bacillota; Bacilli; Caryophanales; Anoxybacillaceae. The record is from RNAcentral.
AUAAACCGGAGGAAGGUGGGGAUGACGUCAAAUCAUCAUGCCCCUUAUGACCUGGGCUACACACGUGCUACAAUGGGCGGUACAAAGGGUCGCGAACCCGCGAGGGGGAGCCAAUCCCAAAAAGCCGCUCUCAGUUCGGAUUGCAGGCUGCAACUCGCCUGCAUGAAGCCGGAAUCGCUAGUAAUCGCGGAUCAGCAUGCCGCGGUGAAUACGUUCCCGGGCCUU